GCUGAUGUAGCUCAACGGUAGAGCGCAGGAAUUGGUGUAGAAAUACGCUGAUUUAAAAAAGCUCCUGAGAAGGCGGUUCGAUUCCGUCCAUCAGCA
This 96-nucleotide transfer RNA is filed under the name Limosilactobacillus reuteri. RNAcentral's name for it is "tRNA-OTHER". It matches the Rfam family "tRNA". From Rfam's summary of the family: Transfer RNA (tRNA) molecules are approximately 80 nucleotides in length. Their secondary structure includes four short double-helical elements and three loops (D, anti-codon, and T loops). The record is from RNAcentral. Lineage: Bacteria; Bacillati; Bacillota; Bacilli; Lactobacillales; Lactobacillaceae.